UUGUGUUUACUGGAUCUCAUUUAGUUUUGGUCGUGACCAAAGCGACGACUGCAAUCCCCAUGUUGCAAACGAAGCAGAGUGGUUCAGUGAUUAACCCCUGCACGCGGCUGUGGUAUGGACCGAGAUUAGAAGAUUUUUGUCUGAUCCCCAAGUCUAGGACACUUUCGGAGCCAAGCUCACCAGUGCCAUGUGGUCUACUUGUCAAGUACUAAGUCAAUGACCCUGAUGUAGAGACAUUAAUAAAUGAAGGAAAUCAGUAUCACUCCUUAGCCCCAAAUUUUAAGAUAUUUUAAAUAGGAUUAGGAGAGAAGGACAGGAGUCAGUUUAGUGUCCAAAUUUGCCUGGUGAUGAAAUUUUAUAGAAACAUUUUUUUCCUCCUUCGGAAACCUCCAUGAAUAAUAUGACAUAGUCACACCUUUUGAAACUCAACUAUUGAAAAUAACAUCAGUAAUCACCACUAGUCAUUGACAAUAAAGAAUCUCGGAAUUUUUGGAGGAUUUGGAUAAGUGGCAGCUGGACCCCUACAGAAGGGACCAUCUUUAUUCUCCAAUUCCUUUUUUGGAACUGGGGUGCAGGCCAGAGGUGCACGAGGUGAGAGGAUUCGCCAGAGACAGUGGGGAGCAGAAGAGGCAGAUCUACUAAAAUAACUGCUGAGGGGAGCAGUGGGCCAGAGGAGAGGUCUGCUGCACCAGGAUCAAACCCAUGGCAUAAAUGCUGAAGCUUUAAGUUGUGUUCAACAAAUUGUUCCUGACCUGCACCACCUGGGAGCACUUUCUGAGCAUGAACCCCAGCAGGUCAUCCUAGAUGAUCACCACUGUGAAACCUUUAGAGCCAAUGUUCUGGAUGCCAGCAAAACUCACACCACACUUGGAAACACCGACUGACUGCUCACAAACCAGCACCACUCCCUUGUGUCAGGCAUAAAAUCUAA
This is a long non-coding RNA of Talpa occidentalis (Iberian mole), 931 nucleotides long. RefSeq lists it as uncharacterized. The record is from RefSeq and is a predicted model, not a curated record. The transcript is spliced from 3 exons. Lineage: Eukaryota; Metazoa; Chordata; Mammalia; Eulipotyphla; Talpidae.